UAGGGAAUCUUCCACAAUGGGCGAAAGCCUGAUGGAGCAACGCCGCGUGAGUGAAGAAGGUUUUCGGAUCGUAAAGCUCUGUUGUUGGUGAAGAAGGAUAGAGGUAGUAACUGGCCUUUAUUUGACGGUAAUCAACCAGAAAGUCACGGCUAACUACGUGCCA
RNAcentral lists this ribosomal RNA (163 nucleotides) under uncultured bacterium. RNAcentral's name for it is "partial 16S rRNA". It matches the Rfam family "Bacterial small subunit ribosomal RNA", at positions 355 to 510 of the family's 1533-position model. The record is from RNAcentral.